Molecule: non-coding RNA, 97 nt
Organism: Lentinula detonsa
Lineage: Eukaryota; Fungi; Basidiomycota; Agaricomycetes; Agaricales; Omphalotaceae
Source: the annotation of a GenBank genome assembly
UCCGAUAUGGUGUAGUGGCUAACAUUAUCGCCUCUCAUGGGCAGCCCAGUCAGGUUCAUAUGCGCGAUAGCCCGGGGUUCGAUUCCCCGUGUCGGAA